GGAGUUGGCCAGACAGUCGCUCUUUCCGCUUGGAAAGGGAGGAAAGUCCGGGCUCCAUCGGGCAGGGUGCCAGGUAACGCCUGGGGGGCGCGAGUCCACGGAAAGUGCCACAGAAAAGAUACCGCCGGUUCGGGCUUCGCUCGCGCCGGUAAGGGUGAAAUGGUGCGGUAAGAGCGCACCGCGCUGGUGGCAACAUCAGUGGCAGGGUAAACCCCACCCGGAGCAAGACCAAAUAGGGGAACAUGCAGCCUCGGCUGCGGCGCGCGGCCCGCGCGUGUUCCCGGGUAGGUCGCUUGAGGCGCGCGGUGACGCGCGUCCCAGAUGAAUGACUGUCCGCGACAGAACCCGGCUUAUCGGCCGACUCCUUAC
Molecule: RNase P RNA, 369 nt
Filed under: Allochromatium palmeri
Lineage: Bacteria; Pseudomonadati; Pseudomonadota; Gammaproteobacteria; Chromatiales; Chromatiaceae
Description: RNase P RNA component class A
Rfam family: Bacterial RNase P class A
About the family: Ribonuclease P (RNase P) is a ubiquitous endoribonuclease, found in archaea, bacteria and eukarya as well as chloroplasts and mitochondria. Its best characterised activity is the generation of mature 5'-ends of tRNAs by cleaving the 5'-leader elements of precursor-tRNAs.
Source: RNAcentral